CCGGUGUCGACUUACUAGCUGCAAGCCUCUGCCUGCCUUCCUGCGCGCCGUUCCCCGCUAGUCGCUGCUGCUGGCGCGCACUCGCCGGGUUUUUCCUCCCACGGCCUCGAGAUGGUGGUGAAUGUGGCACGGAGGAGCCGGGCCUUCCAACCCGGUGGGCCCGAGCUCCGAAAGGCCCCCUCGGCAGUGAGAGGGGCGGGAGCCCGCGGGGGCCGCGCCCUUCUCUCGCUUCGGACUGCGCAACGCUGCGCUCUGGGCUGACAGGCGGAUAAAACGGUCCCAUCAAGACUGAGAAAAAGCACACCAGCUAUUGGCACAGCGUGGGCAGUGGGGCCUACAGGAUGACUGACUUAGUCUACAGAGAUCCCGGCGUACUUAAGCAGGUAGUAAUGAUGGACAGAUGAAGACUCUUAAGAUGACAGAAGGUGAUUUUUCUGGUGAUCGAGGACUUCCGGGGUAAUGACAGUGAUGAAAUGCAGGGGACCUGGUUGCCCCCAAGUUUCCUGGCAGUGUGUGAUACUGAGGAGGUGAGCUUGUUUCUGGAGCUGUGCUUUAAGAUUCAUGUUACAUGUAAAGCUGUCCUCAUUUGUGACUAUGGACCUAUGGAGUUGGGACAAUCUCUAUGGGAAGCAGAAGGCAAGGACCCCGGUCAUUUUAGGUAGAAACAACAGCAUGCUAAUGCAAAAAAUUAUGCAGUGUGCUACUGAACUUCAGAGGUGAUCAAUAAAAGAAGAAUAAAAAGACUAA
Molecule: long non-coding RNA, 747 nt
Filed under: Homo sapiens (human)
Lineage: Eukaryota; Metazoa; Chordata; Mammalia; Primates; Hominidae
Description: HSALNT0291034
Source: RNAcentral